Ameiurus melas (black bullhead) is the source of this 65-nucleotide non-coding RNA. NCBI's taxonomy places the organism in Eukaryota, Metazoa, Chordata, Actinopteri, Siluriformes, Ictaluridae. The record is from the annotation of a GenBank genome assembly.
GCUCAGUUGGCUAUAGUGUGGUGCUAAUAAAGUCAAGGUCAUGGGUUCAAUCCCCAUACUGACCA